Molecule: transfer RNA, 72 nt
Organism: Toxocara canis (dog roundworm)
Lineage: Eukaryota; Metazoa; Nematoda; Chromadorea; Rhabditida; Toxocaridae
Rfam family: tRNA
About the family: Transfer RNA (tRNA) molecules are approximately 80 nucleotides in length.
Source: Rfam
UGGGCAGCAGCUCAGCGGUAGAGCUCCCGCUUCGUACGCAGGAAGACCUAGGUUUGAUUCCCGGCUGCUUUC